UAUGGCAAUUAUUAUGGCAAG
Molecule: non-coding RNA, 21 nt
Filed under: Caenorhabditis elegans
Lineage: Eukaryota; Metazoa; Nematoda; Chromadorea; Rhabditida; Rhabditidae
Source: RNAcentral